This 310-nucleotide unclassified non-coding RNA is filed under the name uncultured fungus. Its description in RNAcentral is "partial contains small subunit ribosomal RNA, internal transcribed spacer 1, and 5.8S ribosomal RNA". The stretch from base 1 to 73 matches the Rfam family "Eukaryotic small subunit ribosomal RNA", at positions 1759 to 1831 of the family's 1831-position model. Lineage: Eukaryota; Fungi. The record is from RNAcentral.
UCAAACUUGGUCAUUUAGAGGAAGUAAAAGUCGUAACAAGGUUUCCGUAGGUGAACCUGCGGAAGGAUCAUUACCGAGUUCGGGGCCCUUAGGCCCCUACGCUCCAACCCUGUGUCUCCUCUACCGCGUUGCUUUGGCGGGGCCGGUCCGUUGACCGCCGGGGGUGUUGCGCCUCUGGUCCCGUGCCCCGCCGGUGGCCUUUUCAACCAAAAUCAACCCAAAUCAUGACCUGAAUCUGUGAACAGAGAAUUCACGACAAAAAACUUUCAACAACGGAUCUCUUGGUUCUGGCAUCGAUGAAGAACGCAGC